AGAGUUUGAUCAUGGCUCAGGAUCAACGCUGGCGGCGUGCCUAAUGCAUGCAAGUUGAACGGUGCCUUCGGGCACAGUGGCGAACGGGUGAGGAACACGUGGACGACCGACCCUGGAGUGGGGAAUAACUGCCGGAAACGGUAGCUAAUACCGCAUAUGGUUGCUGAGGUGACGGCCUUGGUAACGAAAGCCUUCGGGCGCUGCAGGACGGGUCUGCGGCCGAUUAGCUAGUUGGUGGGGUAACGGCCUACCAAGGCGACGAUCGGUAGCCGGUCUGAGAGGACGGCCGGCCACACGGGGACUGGGACACGGCCCCGACUCCUACGGGAGGCAGCAGCAAGGAAUAUUGGGCAAUGGCCGAAAGGCUGACCCAGCGACGCCGCGUGGGGGAUGAAGGCCCUCGGGUCGUAAACCCCUUUUCUCAGGGACGAAGAUGACGGUACCUGAGGAAGAAGCCCCGGCUAACUACGUGCCAGCAGCCGCGGUAAUACGUAGGGGGCGAGCGUUGUCCGGAAUUACUGGGCGUAAAGCGCACGUAGGUGGUCCGUCAAGUUCGGCGUGAAAUCUCCAGGCUCAACUUGGAGGGGUCGUCGAAGACUGGCGGACUAGGGUCUGGCAGAGGCAGGUAGAAUUCCCGGUGGAGCGGUGAAAUGCGUAGAGAUCGGGAGGAAUACCAGUGGCGAAGGCGGCCUGCUGGGCCACGACCGACACUGAGGUGCGAAAGCGUGGGGAGCGAACCGGAUUAGAUACCCCCGUAGUCC
Molecule: ribosomal RNA, 761 nt
Filed under: uncultured bacterium
Lineage: Bacteria
Description: bacterial SSU rRNA
Rfam family: Bacterial small subunit ribosomal RNA
Source: RNAcentral